UACGGAGGGUGCAAGCGUUGUCCGGAAUCACUGGGCGUAAAGGGCGCGUAGGCGGCUCAUGAAGGCUGUGGUGAAAGUCCGGGGCUCAACCUCGGAUCGGCCGUGGCGACUCGUGGGCUGGAGCACUGUAGAGGCGGGUGGAAUUCCGGGUGUAGCGGUGAAAUGCGCAGAUAUCAGGAAGAACACCCGUGGCUAAGGCGGCUCUCUAGUACGGUACUGACGCUGAGACGCGAAAGCGUGGGGAGCGAACAGG
This 253-nucleotide ribosomal RNA is filed under the name uncultured bacterium. Its description in RNAcentral is "partial 16S ribosomal RNA". It matches the Rfam family "Bacterial small subunit ribosomal RNA", at positions 524 to 776 of the family's 1533-position model. The record is from RNAcentral.